RNAcentral lists this ribosomal RNA (505 nucleotides) under uncultured bacterium. Its description in RNAcentral is "bacterial SSU rRNA". It matches the Rfam family "Bacterial small subunit ribosomal RNA", at positions 501 to 1008 of the family's 1533-position model. The record is from RNAcentral.
CUACGUGCCAGCAGCCGCGGUAAUACGGAAGGUCCAGGCGUUAUCCGGAUUUAUUGGGUUUAAAGGGAGUGUAGGCGGUUUGUUAAGCGUGUUGUGAAAUUUAGAUGCUCAACAUUUAACUUGCAGCGCGAACUGUCAGACUUGAGUACACGCAACGUAUGCGGAAUUCAUGGUGUAGCGGUGAAAUGCUUAGAUAUCAUGAAGAACUCCGAUUGCGAAGGCAGCAUACGGGAGUGUAACUGACGCUUAAGCUCGAAGGUGCGGGUAUCGAACAGGAUUAGAUACCCUGGUAGUCCGCACAGUAAACGAUGGAUGCCCGCUGUUGGUACCUGGUAUCAGCGGCUAAGCGAAAGCAUUAAGCAUCCCACCUGGGGAGUACGCCGGCAACGGUGAAACUCAAAGGAAUUGACGGGGGCCCGCACAAGCGGAGGAACAUGUGGUUUAAUUCGAUGAUACGCGAGGAACCUUACCCGGGCUUGAAUUGCAGAGGAAUUAUUUAGAGAUA